Molecule: transfer RNA, 73 nt
Filed under: Bacteroidota bacterium
Lineage: Bacteria; Pseudomonadati; Bacteroidota
Also listed under: 4 other names
Description: Bacteroidetes bacterium (marine metagenome) tRNA-Arg
Rfam family: tRNA
About the family: Transfer RNA (tRNA) molecules are approximately 80 nucleotides in length. Their secondary structure includes four short double-helical elements and three loops (D, anti-codon, and T loops).
Source: RNAcentral
GCCCCUGUAGCUCAGUGGAUAGAGCACCGGUUUCCUAAACCGGGUGCCGCAAGUUCAAUUCUUGCCAGGGGCA